UGGGGAAUAUUGCACAAUGGGCGCAAGCCUGAUGCAGCGACGCCGCGUGGGGGAUGACGGCCUUCGGGUUGUAAACCCCUUUCAGCACAGACGAAGCGCAAGUGACGGUAUGUGCAGAAGAAGCACCGGCCAACUACGUGCCAGCAGCCGCGGUAAUACGUAGGGUGCGAGCGUUGUCCGGAAUUACUGGGCGUAAAGAGCUCGUAGGUGGUUUGUCGCGUUGUCCGUGAAAACUCACAGCUUAACUGUGGGCGUGCGGGCGAUACGGGCAGACUGGAGUACUGCAGGGGAGACUGGAAUUCCUGGUGUAGCGGUGGAAUGCGCAGAUAUCAGGAGGAACACCGGUGGCGAAGGCGGGUCUCUGGGCAGUAACUGACGCUGAGGAGCGAAAGCGUGGGGAGCGAACA
Molecule: ribosomal RNA, 407 nt
Filed under: uncultured bacterium
Lineage: Bacteria
Also listed under: 1 other name
Description: bacterial SSU rRNA
Rfam family: Bacterial small subunit ribosomal RNA
Source: RNAcentral